UUUUUGAUUUUCUUGAACCCCAAAACUUAUUUUGCACGGAUAAUCCCUGAUCACCGCAUUUGAACCCCAGUCGCCUGACGCGUAACGUUCUCCGAUCUUCAUUUCCAUCUCCGCCCGACGGAAACUCUUCCUCCAAUAUCGCGCUACUGGGGAGUGUUGUUGAUCCAACGUCACGAUGCUAAACUCCUCAGAGUAACAUCUUCCAACUUCC
RNAcentral lists this long non-coding RNA (211 nucleotides) under Lathyrus oleraceus (garden pea). Its description in RNAcentral is "Pisum sativum (pea) long non-coding RNA (PSAT_LNC033731)". Lineage: Eukaryota; Viridiplantae; Streptophyta; Magnoliopsida; Fabales; Fabaceae. The record is from RNAcentral.